UUUUCGCCGACUGGAGAGUGGCCGUCACGGCCCACCGAAGGGGCAGGCUGCAGGCGCAGCUGAAACUCUCAGGUUCAAGGACAGGGGGAGAGGC
This 94-nucleotide non-coding RNA is filed under the name Caldimonas brevitalea. RNAcentral describes it as "Polyangium brachysporum Glycine sequence". It matches the Rfam family "Glycine riboswitch aptamer". From Rfam's summary of the family: This family represents the bacterial glycine riboswitch. Glycine riboswitches usually consist of two metabolite-binding aptamers domains with similar structures in tandem. The record is from Rfam by way of RNAcentral. Lineage: Bacteria; Pseudomonadati; Pseudomonadota; Betaproteobacteria; Burkholderiales; Sphaerotilaceae.